This is a long non-coding RNA of Astatotilapia calliptera (eastern happy), 1429 nucleotides long. Lineage: Eukaryota; Metazoa; Chordata; Actinopteri; Cichliformes; Cichlidae. The record is from Ensembl.
UCGAAACAGAGAAAACAGACCUUAGAAAAACCCCUAAAAUUCUAGUAAUUUUACCCAGCUGUUCAGUGCUUUAUGUUAAUGAGAAUUUUGGUGGAUGGGUUGGUGCAAUAAGACUUGGUUUGUCUUUUGUCCACAGAGCUGCUUCUCGCUCCCGCAGCCGAUCUCGUAGCAAGAAGAAUAAGGGAAAGGGCAAGAAGGAGGAGGAGGAGCGCAGCAACGGCGCUCAGAAGAACAAGGAUCGCAGCCGGAGCCGCAGCCCCAAGAGUAAAAAGAGCAAGAAAGAGGGGAAAAAGGGCAAGAAGGGGGAGUCCAGGUCCAGGUCUCGCUCUCGUUCUCGCUCCAGGUCUCGCUCUAGAUCUCGUUCUGCAUCUGGAGCUAAGGAUCAGUCAAGGAAAUCUGUCUCAAAGGGCCGGGAGGAGCCCAAGAGCGAUGACGAGGGCGGCGAGCCUGAGCGAGGCUCACGCUCUCGUUCUCGUUCCCGUUCUCAGUCUCCUGAGGAGUCCAAAUCCAGAGCCAGGUCUAAAUCAAAGUCCAAAUCCCGUUCCCCCUCACCUGCCAAAGCCCGCUCCCGUUCCCGCUCCGCCUCCAGAUCGGAGUCCCGCUCUAAAUCCCGCUCCCAGUCUCGUUCUCGUUCCCGUUCCCGCUCUUAGUUCAGAUUUUGGACUGUUUGUCACAAGCCCUCCUCCCAGUGUCUCCCUCCUGCCCUCUAUUUACAUUCCCCGUGCCCGACAACACUAUCCUCACCUCCUGUUUUUUGAUAAGUAGCUGUAGAAUACCAGGCGCUCAUGCUCGAUGUCUCUUAUGCACAUGCUACUCCAUUUCAUUUGCCCUUUACCAACAUACGUUUUCAUUAGUGGUGUUUGUAACAAUAACAACAGGGUGCAAUGUCAGUUUUAUAAGUUCAAGCGAAGGUAUGGUAUUUGUCUUAGCCUUUUUUAAUCAAAUGUAGAAGCAUACUGUUUUUGUCGAUAUGCUGGUUGGGAACACCUUCCCCACUUUUGUGAAAUCCUUGUAAUCUUUGUUUCACAUUAAAAAAAAAAAAAAAAGCUUGUUCUGGACUUGUUAGUCAUGUUUAUGUUGGUAAUAAAUUCGGUGUGUGAGGGAAGCAGGUUGGCUCUUUUAUUUAUUUUUUUAUUUUUUUUGCAUGAUGGUGUAAAUAUCACUGGGGUGAGUUUGUGUUUCUUUGUUUGCUCAGAAAACAGUUGGAACAGUUUUUAGAAAAUGUUUUUUUUUUUUUUUGUUUGUUUUGUUAUCCUAUGUUAACAUAGGAUUAAUUUAAAAAAAACAAAACAACAACAACAACAACUCAUAAGGCAGUUUUAUCUGUUUUUAAAAAGCCAAAGAUGUGUUUUGUAAAGUAAAAGGCUGGUUUGACUGCUGGCAGGCUUCAGUUUCAUAACGUAAAUUCCUCUCAAACUCAGCUGAUUAC